This 73-nucleotide transfer RNA is filed under the name Mycobacteroides abscessus subsp. massiliense. RNAcentral's name for it is "tRNA-Ser(cga)". The record is from RNAcentral. Lineage: Bacteria; Bacillati; Actinomycetota; Actinomycetes; Mycobacteriales; Mycobacteriaceae.
CAUCAGCUGGCGCAGCCAGGACCGGCGCACAGUAUCGAGCGCUGGCGGUGCGGAUCGCGCCCGCUGUCGAUGA